Brassica napus (rape) is the source of this 1323-nucleotide long non-coding RNA. RefSeq lists it as uncharacterized. The record is from RefSeq and is a predicted model, not a curated record. Lineage: Eukaryota; Viridiplantae; Streptophyta; Magnoliopsida; Brassicales; Brassicaceae. The transcript has 2 exons.
CAACAAUUUUUAAUCAUUUUUAAAUAAAUAUUUAAGAUCUUAAAAUAAAGUUUAUUUUUCUAAACCAAUUAAUGAGUAUACAUUUUUCAGUUAUUGUUUUGGAAAAAUUUUACUUUUACACUUUGUUUGAUACCAGUUUUCAAGUUUACCACAAGUCUAGGGACAUUUUCAUAAAUACCAUGUUCAUUAAUGCACAAAAGACAAUAGUAUCCUUCCCUUAUCUUCAGCAAUUUUCAUCGUCGUCUUCAUCUAACCUAGCCGUCGACGUCUUUAUCCAGCCUCGCUGUUGUCGUCUUCAUCCAGCUUCGAUGUCUCGUCUUCGUCGUGAUCCAUCGUUGUCUUUGAUCGAGAUCCAUCGUCGAUCCGUCGGGAUCCAUCGUCGAUCCGUCGUCGUCUCCGUCGAGAUCCAUCGUCACUCUCUCUCACACAGCCGGCAACGAGAGAUUACGAGAAUCACUUUGUCUUGCGUAUCUUAACUCUGUUUUCGCGACGUUCUCGAUGGCUUGGGCUGCAGAUCUAGUUUGAGAGAGUAUAUUUGUGUGGUUAAAGGUUCAGAUCGAUCCUCGUUUGCUCUCAUUGGGUUCGAGAACCGGCGAAUUGAGGUGAUGUUGGCUUCAGACUCGAGAACCGGCAAAUUUUUAGUAUCAGCAGACGUUCUGCAAGGAUUGCUUACUGUGGUCUCUUCGCACUUUCCUUAAUCAUAUCAUGGAUUCUCCGUGAGGUUGCUGCUCCUCUCAUGGAGAAGCUUCCUUGGAUUAACCAUUUUCACAAUACACCUGAUCGGGAAUGGUUUGAGACUGAUGCUGUCUUGCGUGUCAGCUUAGGGAACUUCGUGUUUUUCUCGAUUUUAUAGGUUAUGAUGAUUGGUGUGAAGACUCAGAAAGACCCUCGUGAUGGCAUACACCACGGUGGUUGGAUGAUGAAAGUCAUAUGAACAACUGAUUUUGGGUCUUCUUAGAGUUAUAUAAUUUGGUUGCGAGGUCUUUCGAGUCCCUCCAAGCUUGAAGCCCCUUUAGUCUUUCCUCAAAUGCAGCCAUCACAGCUGGCCUGUGCUUGCUUCUUAGUUCCUGCAAUCUACUUUCGUUUAAAUCUUGGUAACCCAUGCAAGCAGUGAAAACUAGCUGGCUGCUAUAAAACGUUGAGCCAAUCAUUGAUUGAAGCAAAGUAAUCGCAUCUCCAGCGUCCUUGGUUGUAAUUAGUGUAGGACCUGUGUUUACUGGGUUUGUUUAGUAAGUCCAUAAGACUUAAUCACAUUAUAUAUCAAUAUGGACACUGACUGAGGUUUAACCGAGUACCAUAAAACUCCAAGUGCUGUUCUGUAAA